This 261-nucleotide unclassified non-coding RNA is filed under the name Neocamarosporium sp. RNAcentral's name for it is "partial internal transcribed spacer region". The stretch from base 1 to 46 matches the Rfam family "Eukaryotic small subunit ribosomal RNA", at positions 1786 to 1831 of the family's 1831-position model. Lineage: Eukaryota; Fungi; Ascomycota; Dothideomycetes; Neocamarosporiaceae. The record is from RNAcentral.
AAGUCGUAACAAGGUUUCCGUAGGUGAACCUGCGGAAGGAUCAUUACCAAUAUGAAAGCGGAUGGGGAGCCACAGAAGCUAGAGUCCUCGUGGCUCUGUUUCUGCCCUAUCUGUCUGAAUAUUCACCCAUGUCUUUUGCGUACCAAUUGUUUCCUUGGUGGGCCAUCCCGCCAACAGGACAUUGUUAAACCUUUUGUAAUUGCAGUCAGCGUCAGAAAAACUUAAUAGUUACAACUUUCAACAACGGAUCUCUUGGUUCUG